This 456-nucleotide ribosomal RNA is filed under the name uncultured microorganism. RNAcentral's name for it is "bacterial SSU rRNA". It matches the Rfam family "Bacterial small subunit ribosomal RNA", at positions 9 to 513 of the family's 1533-position model. The record is from RNAcentral.
GAGUUUGAUCUUGGCUCAGAGCGAACGCUGGCGGCAGGCCUAACACAUGCAAGUCGAACGGACCCUUCGGGGUUAGUGGCGGACGGGUGAGUAACACGUGGGAACGUGCCUUUAGGUUCGGAAUAGCUCCUGGAAACGGGUGGUAAUGCCGGAAUGUGCCCUUGGGGAAAGAUUUAUCGCCUUUAGAGCGGCCCGCGUCUGAUUAGCUAGUUGGUGAGGUAACGGCUCACCAAGGCGACGAUCAGUAGCUGGUCUGAGAGGAUGACCAGCCACACUGGGACUGAGGACACGGCCCAGACUCCUACGGGAGGCAGCAGUGGGGAAUCUUGCGCAAUGGCGAAAGCCUGACGCAGCCAUGCCGCGUGAAUGAUGAAGGUCUUAGGAUUGUAAAAUUCUUUCACCGGGACGAUAAUGACGGUACCCGGAGAAGAAGCCCCGGCUAACUUCGUGCCAGCA